RNAcentral lists this ribosomal RNA (37 nucleotides) under Eucalyptus singularis. RNAcentral describes it as "partial 18S ribosomal RNA". Lineage: Eukaryota; Viridiplantae; Streptophyta; Magnoliopsida; Myrtales; Myrtaceae. The record is from RNAcentral.
CAAGGUUUCCGUAGGUGAACCUGCGGAAGGGUCAUUG